AGAGACUGUGUUAAACAUCAUGGAGGAAAAAAGACAUCAUAUUUGCUCUCAUGUAGCUUACAGUUUAGAAGAAGAUGAAGCACAAUUCAAGUAAACUUGGAGCUUUGCAGAACAGAGAAGGUGGAGGCAAAGAGGAAGAGAAAAAGCACCAAAAGGAGAAAAAGCCAGUAAUGGAAGCUGGAGAGAAGAAUGAAAAUUUGAAAGAGGAGGAACCAAUACUCUUAAAAUAUUUUGUUGCACCACCCAGGACACUAUGAAAAUGAAGUUGCCACUGACUAGGAGUCAGCAGUAAUCUGCUGGCUUCAGAUGAACUCAAACCAACAUGGAACCCCAAAGACCAGGCU
This is a non-coding RNA of Ceratotherium simum simum (southern white rhinoceros), 344 nucleotides long. The record is from RefSeq and is a predicted model, not a curated record. Lineage: Eukaryota; Metazoa; Chordata; Mammalia; Perissodactyla; Rhinocerotidae.